CAGUAGCCGCGGUAAUACGUAGGGUGCGAGCGUUAAUCGGAAUUACUGGGCGUAAAGCGUGCGUAGGUGGUGGUUUAAGUCCGUUGUGAAAGCCCUGGGCUCAACCUGGGAAUUGCAGUGGAUACUGGAUCACUAGAGUGUGGUAGAGGAUAGUGGAAUUUCCGGUGUAGCAGUGAAAUGCGUAGAGAUCGGAAGGAACAUCUGUGGCGAAGGCGACUAUCUGGGCCAACACUGACACUGAGGCACGAAAGCGUGGGGAGCAAACAGGAUUAGAUACCCCUGUAGUCCCUGUCUCUUAUAC
This 301-nucleotide ribosomal RNA is filed under the name uncultured bacterium. RNAcentral's name for it is "partial 16S ribosomal RNA". It matches the Rfam family "Bacterial small subunit ribosomal RNA", at positions 509 to 807 of the family's 1533-position model. The record is from RNAcentral.